This is a non-coding RNA of Phrynosoma platyrhinos (Desert horned lizard), 72 nucleotides long. NCBI's taxonomy places the organism in Eukaryota, Metazoa, Chordata, Lepidosauria, Squamata, Phrynosomatidae. The record is from the annotation of a GenBank genome assembly.
UACAGUGCGGUGUAGUGGUUUGAACCCUGGACUAUGACUCUGGAGACCUGGGUUCGAUUCCCAGCUCAGCCA